GUGGGUUGUGGCUCAGUGGUGGAGCACUUGCCUAGCACAUAAGAGACACCGGGUUCAACCCUCAGCACCACA
RNAcentral lists this transfer RNA (72 nucleotides) under Marmota monax (woodchuck). RNAcentral describes it as "tRNA.Ala". The record is from RNAcentral. Lineage: Eukaryota; Metazoa; Chordata; Mammalia; Rodentia; Sciuridae.